GACGAACGCUGGCGGCGUGCUUAACACAUGCAAGUCGAACGGUAAGGCCCCUUCGGGGGUCCACGAGUGGCGCACGGGUGAGUAACACGUGAGCAACCUGCCCUUGACUCUGGAAUAACAGUUGGAAACAGCUGCUAAUACUGGAUAUUCAUCGUCUCCUUCCUGGGGGGUGGUGGAAAGCUCCGGCGGUCAGGGAUGGGCUCGCGGCCUAUCAGCUUGUUGGUGAGGUAAUGGCUCACCAAGGCUUCGACGGGUAGCCGGCCUGAGAGGGCGACCGGCCACACUGGGACUGAGAUACGGCCCAGACUCCUACGGGAGGCAGCAGUGGGGAAUAUUGCACAAUGGGCGCAAGCCUGAUGCAGCAACGCCGCGUGCGGGAUGACGGCCUUCGGGUUGUAAACCGCUUUCAGUAGGGACGAAGGGUGACUGACGGUACCUACAGAAGAAGGACCGGCUAACUACGUG
Molecule: ribosomal RNA, 465 nt
Filed under: uncultured bacterium
Lineage: Bacteria
Description: partial 16S ribosomal RNA
Rfam family: Bacterial small subunit ribosomal RNA
Source: RNAcentral